GUUUUACAGGGAGUUCCCUUCAAGCACUUCACGUAGAGCUUUUUAUUGAUAUGGAGCUUUCGAACAAUGUGAAGUGUUUGGGGGAACUCUUCGUACCAA
This 99-nucleotide microRNA precursor is filed under the name Oryza punctata. RNAcentral's name for it is "mir-395 microRNA precursor family". It matches the Rfam family "mir-395 microRNA precursor family". From Rfam's summary of the family: mir-395 was identified in both Arabidopsis thaliana and Oryza sativa computationally and was later experimentally verified. mir-395 is thought to target mRNAs coding for ATP sulphurylases. Lineage: Eukaryota; Viridiplantae; Streptophyta; Magnoliopsida; Poales; Poaceae. The record is from Rfam by way of RNAcentral.